GGGUUGUGAGGUUAAGCGACUAAGCGUACACGGUGGAUGCCCUGGCAGUCAGAGGCGAUGAAGGACGUGCUAAUCUGCGAUAAGCGUCGGUAAGGUGAUAUGAACCGUUAUAACCGGCGAUUUCCGAAUGGGGAAACCCAGUGUGUUUCGACACACUAUCAUUAACUGAAUCCAUAGGUUAAUGAGGCGAACCGGGGGAACUGAAACAUCUAAGUACCCCGAGGAAAAGAAAUCAACCGAGAUUCCCCCAGUAGCGGCGAGCGAACGGGGAGCAGCCCAGAGCCUGAAUCAGUGUGUGUGUUAGUGGAAGCGUCUGGAAAGGCGCGCGAUACAGGGUGACAGCCCCGUACACAAAAAUGCACAUGCUGUGAGCUCGAUGAGUAGGGCGGGACACGUGGUAUCCUGUCUGAAUAUGGGGGGACCAUCCUCCAAGGCUAAAUACUCCUGACUGACCGAUAGUGAACCAGUACCGUGAGGGAAAGGCGAAAAGAACCCCGGCGAGGGGAGUGAAAAAGAACCUGAAACCGUGUACGUACAAGCAGUGGGAGCACGCUUAGGCGUGUGACUGCGUACCUUUUGUAUAAUGGGUCAGCGACUUAUAUUCUGUAGCAAGGUUAACCGAAUAGGGGAGCCGAAGGGAAACCGAGUCUUAACUGGGCGUUAAGUUGCAGGGUAUAGACCCGAAACCCGGUGAUCUAGCCAUGGGCAGGUUGAAGGUUGGGUAACACUAACUGGAGGACCGAACCGACUAAUGUUGAAAAAUUAGCGGAUGACUUGUGGCUGGGGGUGAAAGGCCAAUCAAACCGGGAGAUAGCUGGUUCUCCCCGAAAGCUAUUUAGGUAGCGCCUCGUGAAUUCAUCUCCGGGGGUAGAGCACUGUUUCGGCAAGGGGGUCAUCCCGACUUACCAACCCGAUGCAAACUGCGAAUACCGGAGAAUGUUAUCACGGGAGACACACGGCGGGUGCUAACGUCCGUCGUGAAGAGGGAAACAACCCAGACCGCCAGCUAAGGUCCCAAAGUCAUGGUUAAGUGGGAAACGAUGUGGGAAGGCCCAGACAGCCAGGAUGUUGGCUUAGAAGCAGCCAUCAUUUAAAGAAAGCGUAAUAGCUCACUGGUCGAGUCGGCCUGCGCGGAAGAUGUAACGGGGCUAAACCAUGCACCGAAGCUGCGGCAGCGACGCUUAUGCGUUGUUGGGUAGGGGAGCGUUCUGUAAGCCUGCGAAGGUGUGCUGUGAGGCAUGCUGGAGGUAUCAGAAGUGCGAAUGCUGACAUAAGUAACGAUAAAGCGGGUGAAAAGCCCGCUCGCCGGAAGACCAAGGGUUCCUGUCCAACGUUAAUCGGGGCAGGGUGAGUCGACCCCUAAGGCGAGGCCGAAAGGCGUAGUCGAUGGGAAACAGGUUAAUAUUCCUGUACUUGGUGUUACUGCGAAGGGGGGACGGAGAAGGCUAUGUUGGCCGGGCGACGGUUGUCCCGGUUUAAGCGUGUAGGCUGGUUUUCCAGGCAAAUCCGGAAAAUCAAGGCUGAGGCGUGAUGACGAGGCACUACGGUGCUGAAGCAACAAAUGCCCUGCUUCCAGGAAAAGCCUCUAAGCAUCAGGUAACAUCAAAUCGUACCCCAAACCGACACAGGUGGUCAGGUAGAGAAUACCAAGGCGCUUGAGAGAACUCGGGUGAAGGAACUAGGCAAAAUGGUGCCGUAACUUCGGGAGAAGGCACGCUGAUAUGUAGGUGAAGUCCCUUGCGGAUGGAGCUGAAAUCAGUCGAAGAUACCAGCUGGCUGCAACUGUUUAUUAAAAACACAGCACUGUGCAAACACGAAAGUGGACGUAUACGGUGUGACGCCUGCCCGGUGCCGGAAGGUUAAUUGAUGGGGUCAGCGCAAGCGAAGCUCUUGAUCGAAGCCCCGGUAAACGGCGGCCGUAACUAUAACGGUCCUAAGGUAGCGAAAUUCCUUGUCGGGUAAGUUCCGACCUGCACGAAUGGCGUAAUGAUGGCCAGGCUGUCUCCACCCGAGACUCAGUGAAAUUGAACUCGCUGUGAAGAUGCAGUGUACCCGCGGCAAGACGGAAAGACCCCGUGAACCUUUACUAUAGCUUGACACUGAACAUUGAGCCUUGAUGUGUAGGAUAGGUGGGAGGCUUUGAAGUGUGGACGCCAGUCUGCAUGGAGCCGACCUUGAAAUACCACCCUUUAAUGUUUGAUGUUCUAACGUUGACCCCUAAUCGGGGUUGCGGACAGUGUCUGGUGGGUAGUUUGACUGGGGCGGUCUCCUCCUAAAGAGUAACGGAGGAGCACGAAGGUUGGCUAAUCCUGGUCGGACAUCAGGAGGUUAGUGCAAUGGCAUAAGCCAGCUUGACUGCGAGCGUGACGGCGCGAGCAGGUGCGAAAGCAGGUCAUAGUGAUCCGGUGGUUCUGAAUGGAAGGGCCAUCGCUCAACGGAUAAAAGGUACUCCGGGGAUAACAGGCUGAUACCGCCCAAGAGUUCAUAUCGACGGCGGUGUUUGGCACCUCGAUGUCGGCUCAUCACAUCCUGGGGCUGAAGUAGGUCCCAAGGGUAUGGCUGUUCGCCAUUUAAAGUGGUACGCGAGCUGGGUUUAGAACGUCGUGAGACAGUUCGGUCCCUAUCUGCCGUGGGCGCUGGAGAACUGAGGGGGGCUGCUCCUAGUACGAGAGGACCGGAGUGGACGCAUCACUGGUGUUCGGGUUGUCAUGCCAAUGGCACUGCCCGGUAGCUAAAUGCGGAAGAGAUAAGUGCUGAAAGCAUCUAAGCACGAAACUUGCCCCGAGAUGAGUUCUCCCUGACCCUUUAAGGGUCCUGAAGGAACGUUGAAGACGACGACGUUGAUAGGCCGGGUGUGUAAGCGCAGCGAUGCGUUGAGCUAACCGGUACUAAUGAACCGUGAGGCUUAACCUUACAACGCCGAAGCUGUU
RNAcentral lists this ribosomal RNA (2930 nucleotides) under Escherichia coli. RNAcentral's name for it is "23S ribosomal RNA". It matches the Rfam family "Bacterial large subunit ribosomal RNA". The record is from RNAcentral. Lineage: Bacteria; Pseudomonadati; Pseudomonadota; Gammaproteobacteria; Enterobacterales; Enterobacteriaceae.